Molecule: ribosomal RNA, 460 nt
Filed under: uncultured bacterium
Lineage: Bacteria
Description: partial 16S ribosomal RNA
Rfam family: Bacterial small subunit ribosomal RNA
Source: RNAcentral
CCUACGGGGGGCAGCAGUGAGGAAUAUUGGUCAAUGGGCGCGAGCCUGAACCAGCCAAGUAGCGUGAAGGAUGACUGCCCUACGGGUUGUAAACUUCUGUUAUAAAGGAAUAAAGUGAGGCACGUGUGCCUUUUUGUAUGUACCUUAUGAAUAAGGAUCGGCUAACUCCGUGCCAGCAGCCGCGGUAAUACGGAGGAUCCGAUCGUUAUCCGGAUUUAUUGGGGUUAAAGGGAGCGUAGAUGGGUUGUUAAGUAAGUUGUGAAAGUUUGGGGCUCAACCGUAAAAUUGCAAUUGUUACUGGCAGUCUUGAGUACAGUUGCGGUCGGCGGAAUUCGUUGUGUAGCUGUGAAAUGCUUCGAUAUCACGAAGAACUCCGAUUGCGAAGGCAGCUUACUAAACUGCCACUGACAUUGAUGCUCGACAGUGUGGGUAUCAAACAGGAUUAGAUACCCUAGUAGUC